This 400-nucleotide unclassified non-coding RNA is filed under the name Hevea brasiliensis (rubber tree). The record is from RNAcentral. Lineage: Eukaryota; Viridiplantae; Streptophyta; Magnoliopsida; Malpighiales; Euphorbiaceae.
GGUAGAGCAUUAUUUGGGUCAACAUAAAUAAGAUAUGAUUAAUUAUUCAUGUUAAAAACCCAUGCAUGAACAUUUUAAAUUUGCAGGAAGAAGAGAGUUUGUAUAAUUAUGGAGUUUAUUUUUUCGGGAUUGGGUGCAAACACAUUAGCUGUUGUGUACUAGUAUGGUGAUUAAGUGUCUUGUUCUAAUCUAUUUUUCAUAUAUUUAUGCAAGUAACUUAGUAGAGAAUGCAAAGAAGAAUGAUGACUCCAGUUAGACUUGGAAUGCUUUGGUGAAAAAUGUCAUGUAACUCAGUGUACUAUCACAAAGAUUAUUUAUUAGAUGUUAGAGAGCUAUAGAUUUAGUAGAUAAGCGCUAGUUGGUGGAUUCUAUGAGCUGGAAGUGGGGAAAAAAAGGAAAG